This is a long non-coding RNA of Gasterosteus aculeatus aculeatus (three-spined stickleback), 1418 nucleotides long. NCBI's taxonomy places the organism in Eukaryota, Metazoa, Chordata, Actinopteri, Perciformes, Gasterosteidae. The record is from Ensembl.
AUAUAUAUAUAUAUAUAUAUAUACAGAGGUGUCGAAAGUAUUCACAUUCAUUACUCAAUUAGAAGUACAGAUACUAGGGUUUAAAAAGACUCCUGUAGAAGUUGAAGUAUCGACUCAGGCUUUUUACUUAAGUAAAAGUAUAAAAGUACUGGUUUCAAAACUACUUAAAGUAUAAAAGUAAAAGUAAUGUAAGAAAUUCCAAUAAGAACAAACUCUUAAUGCGUAACCUCGCUCACACAACACGUCCGUUACAAUGUGAUCAGAAGGCGCCUGCCGAUCACGUGACCUGCCGUUGGGACGGUGGAAACAACAACAACAACAACAACAAAUGUAUCUGACUUAACACAUAAAACCACAACCCAUUUUCCAGUGACACGAGUCACACACACGUUGUUUGCAUUGAUUAGUUGGACUGCAGUGUCUCCCCCAGGUUCACUACGUCACGGGGGGUCCUGACUUUCACGGGGUGGGGGGCGCACCGCUGUUUAUAAUGAUGGGAAACACUGAACUGGCAGCGGUCGGUUAUCCAAACAUUGGCCAAAUAACCCGUAUGUUCAGGCUUCAUGAGCAAAUACAGAAUCCCUUUGUGUUCAUUUCCAAAGCCGCAUUAAGACACACGUCACUUUAUUUAAUACGCAAGUCGCUGUGUUGUGCCAGACUCUCAAUAAAACAUUUAGGACAAACCCACGGUCACGAAGAUACUCAUUUAACGUUACAUGGAAUCUGCGUGAGGAAGAGGAGGAGGAGGAGGAGGGGGAAGAGGAGGAGGGUCCGUGUCGCUAAAUACCAACUUUCCAAAGACCACUUUUCCCACCCGGUGUCGCUCCGAUCUGCCGGCGCAUCGCAGAGAAAACCGAUCGGGUGUCUGGAUACUAAACGUUUAUACUUCUCAUCCAAACACAAUCACAUUCACUAUGUCCGCAUAGCGCCGUUUAUCUAGAUGGGUUUUUGUGUUUGUGUGUUUUUGAACUACGACAAGCCGGAGGUAACGAGGCUGUUUUUAAAAUGUAAGGAGUAGAAAGUACAGAUAUUUGCGUGAAAAUGUAAGGAGUAGAAGUAAAAAGUCGUCUGAAAAAUAAAUACUAAGUGUAUAAGUAUAGAUACCAAAAAUCUCUACUUAAGUACAGUAACGAAGUAUUUGUACUUCGUUACUUGACACCUCUGCUAAUUAUGAAUUCAUUUAAACAACAAUCUAGUUUUCCUUGUUCCUCAUUAUUUCUUUUUUUCACAGGUGGUUUCAUCAAUAAUUCAACAUAUUGAUAGGACUAUUGACAUUAAAGGAGUAUGUAAUACAUUACAUUGUUUAAUGUGAAUCCUAUUGUGAGCUGAUUUGUAAAAAAAUAAAAAUAUCAGUACAUUUGCAAACUGUUACAGCAACCAUAGUGUAGUAUAGUAUAUAUUUUCAGGUUGUUCAGCAG